This is a non-coding RNA of Rattus norvegicus (Norway rat), 474 nucleotides long. Lineage: Eukaryota; Metazoa; Chordata; Mammalia; Rodentia; Muridae. The record is from RefSeq and is a predicted model, not a curated record.
CAAAACCUUAAAAGCAGCUUCUUCAGAAUAUGGGUGUUGCUUCCCUUGGCAAGAGCCUAGCAAUCCAUACUGCACCUCCGUGUGGACCAGAAAGUCCUGCCGGCUCUGAUGGACAGGGGUGUCAGCUUUAGGUGUAUCAGCAUUUGGUGCCCAAUGUGUAUGUGGGGUUUGAAGAAAAGAGAGGACCAGAAUAUUCCAGGACUGGAGGUAAAUAAAGCACACUCACAGAAGUUACUGGAGUACUGUACAUGAUGAAGAAGCGAUAUAGUGCCUCCUGCAUCAAACACAAGUGACCGGUGAACAACAGUACCACUGUACCCGAACCACAGGGUUCUUGAUGCAGAGGAUAUGGACAAGGCAAAACAUACAGUUCCUCAUAUCAUGGUGACCCCAGCCAUAAAAUUAUGUCCAUUGCUAGUCCCUAACUUUAAUUUUGCUAGUUAUGAUCUGUAACAUAAAUAUUUGUUAUCUCAA